Long non-coding RNA from Mya arenaria, 654 nucleotides. RefSeq lists it as uncharacterized. The record is from RefSeq and is a predicted model, not a curated record. NCBI's taxonomy places the organism in Eukaryota, Metazoa, Mollusca, Bivalvia, Myida, Myidae. The transcript is spliced from 3 exons.
CUAGUGCAGUGAAGAUAUAAAUAUCGGCCAAUAAAAUUGUAAAUUAAAUAUAUAAAACCUGUUUAAGACAUCACCCCAUACAGAACAUUGUACAUACAUGAAUAUUACAUGUACUGAACGAAUGACAAUUACAAGUGACAAAACAAAACGGACUGCUGGGGUGGAGUUGACCUGUCUACAGCCGUUUGGGGCAUCAAAAUCAAAGGUGCUGAACCAUGUAGCAAAGAUGUGCACUACCACUAAAUGUGCACUAUGGAAUUAUGCCCAGCAAGUCCACUAUCCAAAUCAUGCGCAACAAGUUGGGCCGAUGUAUUUCGCCACCCCACGGAAGUGUCCAUUGUUUCGCAUGUGUGCCUAAGGUUCAGGAAAGUAGAUAUUUUAUCUGGUGGAUGAGGCCGAAUUACCGGGGAAAGGAAGAGACAGUGUUGUGAGCCUGGCCUACAACUACUUUCAGCACCAUGGUGUCUUUGAAAAACAUGCUGAGGGAUUUAGUGCUUCACCCAUUUCAAUCAUCUAUAGAAUAUUUAAUGGAUCAAAGGUUCUAACAAACUAUGCAAACUUCAUCCUUAUUGCUGAGAAGAGAUUAUGAGAAUCAAUAGUGAAUAUAAAAGAUGAUGAAACUUUACAUAUAUUACACCAUGAAACACAUUCUUA